This 262-nucleotide unclassified non-coding RNA is filed under the name uncultured fungus. RNAcentral's name for it is "sequence contains ITS2". The stretch from base 1 to 52 matches the Rfam family "5.8S ribosomal RNA", at positions 103 to 154 of the family's 154-position model. Lineage: Eukaryota; Fungi. The record is from RNAcentral.
AACGCACAUUGCGCCCGCCAGUACUCUGGCGGGCAUGCCUGUUCGAGCGUCAUUUCAACCCUCAAGCCCCCGGGUUUGGUGUUGGAGAUCGGCAAUCGGGCCCCUCGGGGCACGCGCCGUCUCCCAAAUCUAUUGGCGGUCACGCUGUAGCUUCCUAUGCGUAGUAGCACACCUCGCACUGGAAAGCAGCGCGGCCACGCCGUAAAACCCCCAACUUCUGAAGUUUGACCUCGAAUCAGGUAGGAUUACCCGCUGAACUUAA